AUGUCUAUUUUUGUUUUUUUAUUUGUUUGUUUUUUUGUGUUUUUUUUUGACUUUCAUUUCUUCUCUUACUUAGCACCCAAACCGCAGGUAUCAAGAGGAUUUCUGUUUUAUUUAUUUUUAAUUUUUUUUUUUUUCAUUUCUUUAUUUUUUCCUCACUUUUUCUUUGCAAAGAAAAAGCCUUUUUCUUCUUGGGUUUUUAUGUUCACACUUAAUCAGUUCUUCAACUUUGAAGCUUUGAAUAAAGCCCUUCCAUGUAUUUACUGUGACAGAAGAGAAUGUCACUUUGAUACUAAGUCCUAUUGGCCAGUUUGUUGGUGGGUGUUUGCAUUUUCCUUGGGCACAGCUGUCCUUAAAAUAAUAUGCUGGGGAAGAGAAGAAACAUGACUCUCCAACCUAUAUACUACACUUUUAUUUUAAAAACAAAAACAAAACCAGAACACAGGCCAAAAGUUCUCUCACUUCUGCUUUAGCUUUAAAACAUGGCAGCACUAGUUGCGAGUCACAUUUUGAGUUAUGGAUGCACUUUUUAAAUAUACUUUUGCUUCAUUGUAUAUGGAUCUUCAUACAUAUUCAAUAUAUAUGAGUGUAUAUUUGAAGAUGCUGAGUUUGACUAACAUCCUGAUGAGGUGGUUCCUAGCUCCAAGAAGCAGCAGUAGUAGCCUGCAUCUGCUGCAAAUCCCUUCAGUGACCACCACAGAAUCUGGACUACCAGAGCCACUUUCUUCAGCUGUAAUAACCUAGAUGAACUAUAUAAUUAUAAUAUAGGAAGUGUAAUCAAUCACCCAUUGAGAAUAGUUAGAUAGUGUCUUGUUGCCAAGUAGAUUAGGCUGUGGGAAUUCAAACAGUGUAAUUAAUUAAAUGAAGUUGGCUAGGGGUGAGACAGCACUGCAGAGGCUAUUCAUUUUCCUAGCUUUACAUCACAGUGUUCAAUAGUAAAGCUUUUGUACGGUCUUUAACUUUGAACAACUUUCCAAAAUAGGAAUACUUGGAGAGUCUCUAUUUUGUUCCAUCAGAAAAAAUCACACAUUGGACUCAUGCUUUCAGUUUCAUUGUGA
RNAcentral lists this long non-coding RNA (1055 nucleotides) under Coturnix japonica (Japanese quail). Its description in RNAcentral is "lncRNA (ENSCJPG00005020253.1)". The record is from RNAcentral. Lineage: Eukaryota; Metazoa; Chordata; Aves; Galliformes; Phasianidae.